RNAcentral lists this ribosomal RNA (253 nucleotides) under uncultured bacterium. RNAcentral describes it as "partial 16S ribosomal RNA". It matches the Rfam family "Bacterial small subunit ribosomal RNA", at positions 524 to 776 of the family's 1533-position model. The record is from RNAcentral.
UACAGAGGUCUCAAGCGUUGUUCGGAUUCAUUGGGCGUAAAGGGUGCGUAGGCGGCGCGGUAAGUCGGGUGUGAAAUCUCGGAGCUUAACUCCGAAACUGCAUUCGAUACUGCCGUGCUUGAGGACUGGAGAGGAGACUGGAAUUUACGGUGUAGCGGUGAAAUGCGUAGAUAUCGGGAGGAAUACCGGUGGCGAAAGCGACUCUCUGGACGGCAACUGACGCUGAGGCACGAAAGCGUGGGGAGCAAACAGG